AAGAUGCAGUUAAAUGAAAAAGCAGCAGCUUCCCCAAUCUGAUUCAUAAUUUAUCACGGCCGAGAGUUUCCAAGGGGUCUGGAUUCUCACAUCAACAGGACAGUCCGUAACAGGCGGCCCGACCCUGGGCACUAAACGUGGGGGACGCAGACGAGCUUACGUCGGCCGCACACCCACACGCACACAGCAACUCACACAGACGCCUGAGCCCACACAGUCACGUGCGACUGACAGAGCCUCGUCUGAGAAUUAAGCUCGGAGCAGCCGUGUGAUUCGGCAGCUCCACCCUCAGCUGGAAGCAGGCGUUCACACAAACACGUGUGCAGGAGCAUUUGCAGCAGCAGCAGCGGGGAGCCACCCAGCGCCACCAACGGUGAGGACGAAUGAACAGGAUGUGCUCCUCCAUGCACGGGAGCGACAAGUGACGAGGAAAGGGACCCGGCGCCCACGCAGGCUACGGAGUGAUGAACCUGGAAGACAUCGUGCUCCGUGGAUAAGCCAGACACGAAAGGCCGUUCUUAAUAGAAAAACUGUGUCACUGGCUGGAGUUGGCUGAAAUCCAAUACAUUGGCGUGAAGUGUCUCUCAUAACCUCUCAAGUGAGUAAGAAAAGCUGCACAAAGAUGGAGCAGUUAAACCCCAAUGCCAGGCAAUUCCGUUUAUGGUCAAAGUGUAAUGAGAGCUGACCAAUAACUGCCCUCCGGAGCCCACGCUGCCGUUAAGAGCUGCAGGCUCUCCUUUCUAGACUCAUGCUCUCCCCCAGGCCAGCGUAUCUGUUUCUGCACCUGCUGCCCAGGAGGCCAGGAGUCCAGAGAGGCUGGACAACCUCUACCUUCUCUUUGUGCCCCCUGUGGUGAUGGUCAGUGGCAGGACGUCCAGGCACAAAAUUGGGUGAGAGAUGCCAUGGAGACACCUGUGUCCACGGGAGAGCGGAGUCCAGGACACACAGGUCUUCAGGUUACCUCAAUGUGGUGAGUUCGCAACAGGACAGGGCUGAGUUGAAAAGCACCCGUGGGCACUAGAAAAAAUCAGCCCUUCAUGGAACUCACCAUGGGCCCAGCACAGGACCCCAGACCUGAGUGUGCCUCAGUCCUGGCCGGUACGGUCCUUAGAGCUUAUGAAACCAGUGUCCACGCAGGGUGACCCUCCGUCACAAGGGAACACGUGGGUUCAUCAUGAACCUACCAACCUGCUGUCUGACGUGACCCCGUGCAUUCGACGCCAGAGAAAAUCUGCCAGUGUUGAUUAAAUGUCAGAACAUCAAAUGCUGCUGCUGCUGACCUGCAGAACCUAAAUUAAUGAGAAAAAGACAUCAAUAAAGCGAGUUGAAG
Molecule: long non-coding RNA, 1330 nt
Filed under: Papio anubis (olive baboon)
Lineage: Eukaryota; Metazoa; Chordata; Mammalia; Primates; Cercopithecidae
Description: lncRNA (ENSPANG00000038961.1)
Source: RNAcentral